CUUGGUCAUUUAGAGGAAGUAAAAGUCGUAACAAGGAAAACCGUAGGUGAACCUGCGGAAGGAUCAUUCAUUAAGAGAUUUUAUCUCUAAUAAUUGUGUUUGACACAAUUACAGUGGCAUGAACUGAUGAAAGAUAGGUUCAUGUUGCGAGGUUGCUGGCUACAACCGAAAAAGAUUUUGUUCAAUUCAUUGUUGUUGUUUAUACAACUUUUAACAAUGGAUCUCUCGGCUCCUGUGUCGAUGAAGAACGUAGCAAACUACGAUAAGUGGUGUGAAUUGCUGAUACGUGAAUCAUUGAACUUUUGAACGCAUCUUGCACUUGUUAGUUUACUAGCAAGUACUCCUAAUUCAGUGUCAUUACUUGAAUUCUCUCCCUUGAGGAGGAUAUUGAGUGUCCAUCGGUAGAUGGUUGCUUUAAAUUAGAUAGCAAUUGCUUAGGAAUUGAUGGUGGAACUUACCCUUUGCAAGCUAUAUCAGGACAUUUUUUUUAAUUUCAAGACCUGAAUUUAGGAGGGGAAAUACCCCGUUGAACUUUAGCAUAUCAAUAAGCGGAGGA
RNAcentral lists this ribosomal RNA (556 nucleotides) under uncultured fungus. Its description in RNAcentral is "eukaryotic LSU rRNA". The stretch from base 206 to 357 matches the Rfam family "5.8S ribosomal RNA". The record is from RNAcentral. Lineage: Eukaryota; Fungi.